This 678-nucleotide ribosomal RNA is filed under the name Rhodobacteraceae bacterium Pbc-abP7a. RNAcentral describes it as "bacterial SSU rRNA". It matches the Rfam family "Bacterial small subunit ribosomal RNA", at positions 23 to 746 of the family's 1533-position model. Lineage: Bacteria; Pseudomonadati; Pseudomonadota; Alphaproteobacteria; Rhodobacterales; Paracoccaceae. The record is from RNAcentral.
CUCAGAACGAACGCUGGCGGCAGGCCUAACACAUGCAAGUCGAGCGAGAACUUCGGUUCUAGCGGCGGACGGGUUAGUAACGCGUGGGAACGUGCCCUUCACUACGGAAUAGUCCCGGGAAACUGGGUUUAAUACCGUAUACGCCCUUCGGGGGAAAGAAUUUCGGUGAAGGAUCGGCCCGCGUUAGAUUAGAUAGUUGGUGGGGUAACGGCCUACCAAGUCUACGAUCUAUAGCUGGUUUUAGAGGAUGAUCAGCAACACUGGGACUGAGACACGGCCCAGACUCCUACGGGAGGCAGCAGUGGGGAAUCUUAGACAAUGGGCGCAAGCCUGAUCUAGCCAUGCCGCGUGAGUGAUGAAGGCCUUAGGGUCGUAAAGCUCUUUCGCCAGGGAUGAUAAUGACAGUACCUGGUAAAGAAACCCCGGCUAACUCCGUGCCAGCAGCCGCGGUAAUACGGAGGGGGUUAGCGUUGUUCGGAAUUACUGGGCGUAAAGCGCGCGUAGGCGGAUUGGAAAGUUGGGGGUGAAAUCCCAGGGCUCAACCCUGGAACUGCCUCCAAAACUAUCAGUCUAGAGUUCGAGAGAGGUGAGUGGAACUCCGAGUGUAGAGGUGAAAUUCGUAGAUAUUCGGAAGGAACACCAGUGGCGGAAGGCGGCUCACUGGCUCGAUACUGACGC